CCUAUGGGGUGCAGCAGGCGCGAAAACUUUACAAUGCGGGAAACCGUGAUAAGGGAACUCCGAGUGCCCGUAAAAUCGGGCUGUCCACCAGUUUAAAUAACUGGUGAAGAAAGGGCCGGGCAAGACCGGUGCCAGCCGCCGCGGUAAUACCGGCGGCUCGAGUGGUGGCCACUAUUACUGGGCUUAAAGCGUUCGUAGCUGGUCUGUUAAGUCUCUGGGGAAAUCUACUGGCUUAACCAAUAGGCGUCUCAGGGAUACUGGCAGACUAGGGACCGGGAGAGGUGAGAGGUACUCCAGGGGUAGGAGUGAAAUCCUGUAAUCCUUGGGGGACCACCUGUGGCGAAGGCGUCUCACCAGAACGGCUCCGACAGUGAGGGACGAAAGCUGGGGGAGCAAACCGGAUUAGAUACCCCAGUAGUCC
Molecule: ribosomal RNA, 421 nt
Filed under: uncultured Methanoregula sp.
Lineage: Archaea; Methanobacteriati; Methanobacteriota; Methanomicrobia; Methanomicrobiales; Methanoregulaceae
Description: bacterial SSU rRNA
Rfam family: Archaeal small subunit ribosomal RNA
Source: RNAcentral